UAGCUCAGCUGGGAGAGCAUCGCCCUUACAAGGCGAGGGUCGGGGGUUCGAACCCCUC
Molecule: transfer RNA, 58 nt
Filed under: Methylophaga sp.
Lineage: Bacteria; Pseudomonadati; Pseudomonadota; Gammaproteobacteria; Thiotrichales; Piscirickettsiaceae
Description: tRNA-Val
Rfam family: tRNA
About the family: Transfer RNA (tRNA) molecules are approximately 80 nucleotides in length. Their secondary structure includes four short double-helical elements and three loops (D, anti-codon, and T loops). Further hydrogen bonds mediate the characteristic L-shaped molecular structure. tRNAs have two regions of fundamental functional importance: the anti-codon, which is responsible for specific mRNA codon recognition, and the 3' end, to which the tRNAs corresponding amino acid is attached (by aminoacyl-tRNA synthetases). tRNAs cope with the degeneracy of the genetic code in two manners: having more than one tRNA (with a specific anti-codon) for a particular amino acid; and 'wobble' base-pairing, i.e. permitting non-standard base-pairing at the 3rd anti-codon position.
Source: RNAcentral